CACAUCCUCUCUCUCUUUCUCUUACGGAAUACAACUUUUUCUAUGCCUCUUAUUCUUUGAUUUUUUUUUUUUUUUUUGGGAAAGGGGUUUAAAUAUUGGUUGGUGGCCUUUUUGAUCUGGAAGUUAAUUUGGUGCUCAAUUUACUUGUUCUUGAUGCUAUUUUACACUUAUCUUUUUUAUCCAAAUCUCAAGAUUAGUCCUAUCAAUCUUACUUCAAGCUCCUAUUGCCCUAAUAAUGGAUCUGGCACUCACCUUGUUCUUUUGAUGUUACAUGCUCUUUGCAACCAAAUUCGAAUAAUGAAACACAUCAACUCCUCAUAUUUCUCUUCUGCUUAUCGCUCUGAGUGCGAUGAUUCUGCGAGGAUUCCAAACAGUUGGUGUUUGCAGCUGCAGCAUCACCAAGAUUCACAUAAACUAGGGCAGAAUUUUUUUCUGCACUGAUAUGAGAAUCUUGAUGAUGCUGCAUCGGCAAAUAAUCGACUACAUGCUGCGGAAAGAUGAACUGCCCCAAUUUUCAAUUUUUUUCUGAGCUAAAUAAGCAUAUAUAUGGCGUUGUUCAUCACUAUUCUGCGAGGGAUUUUACUUGUUGUUUUUGGCUGGUAACAUUAUGAAGACAAUUUUCAUUUUCCGUAUUGGACCAAAUUAAUUUGUCAAUAUUAAUUCACAAAUCAUCAUCUAAUGUCAUGAAAAAAUAAUAUAUAUGAUGUUAACUAUUUCACAUUCUAAGAUAUGUGAAUACGAGUCGCUACCUAUUUCUCAAAAAAAAGAUAUGUGAAUACGAGAAAAGUAAAGUUCUUUGAAAAAGUUCUGAUUUA
Molecule: long non-coding RNA, 815 nt
Organism: Ananas comosus (pineapple)
Lineage: Eukaryota; Viridiplantae; Streptophyta; Magnoliopsida; Poales; Bromeliaceae
Exons: 2
Source: RefSeq, a predicted model, not a curated record